GGCCGCGGGAUUAGAGUUUGAUCCUGGCUCAGAUUGAACGCUGGCGGCAUGCUUUACACAUGCAAGUCGAACGGCAGCGGGCCCUUCGGGGUGCCGGCGAGUGGCGAACGGGUGAGUAAUACAUCGGAACGUGUCCUAUAGUGGGGGAUAACCCAGCGAAAGUUGGGCUAAUACCGCAUACGUCCUACGGGAGAAAGCGGGGGAUCGCAAGACCUCGCGCUAGUGGAGCGGCCGAUGUCCGAUUAGCUUGUUGGUGAGGUAAAGGCUCACCAAGGCGACGAUCGGUAGCUGGUCUGAGAGGAUGAUCAGCCACACUGGGACUGAGACACGGCCCAGACUCCUACGGGAGGCAGCAGUGGGGAAUUUUGGA
This 370-nucleotide ribosomal RNA is filed under the name uncultured bacterium. RNAcentral's name for it is "bacterial SSU rRNA". It matches the Rfam family "Bacterial small subunit ribosomal RNA", at positions 1 to 368 of the family's 1533-position model. The record is from RNAcentral.